RNAcentral lists this ribosomal RNA (331 nucleotides) under uncultured bacterium. RNAcentral's name for it is "bacterial SSU rRNA". It matches the Rfam family "Bacterial small subunit ribosomal RNA", at positions 568 to 899 of the family's 1533-position model. The record is from RNAcentral.
CGCGUAGACGGUUCUUGUAAGUCAGAUGUGAAAUCCCUGGGCUCAACCUGGGAACUGCAUUUGAUACUGCAUGGCUAGAGUAUGGAAGAGGGAAGUGGAAUUUCCGGUGUAGCGGUGAAAUGCGUAGAUAUCGGAAGGACACCAGUGGCGAAAGCGACUUCCUGGUCCAAUACUGACGUUCGUGUGCGAAAGCGUGGGGAGCAAACAGGAUUAGAUACCCUGGUAGUCCACGCCAUAAACGAUGACACUAGAUGUUGGGGAGGUCUGCCUCUCGGUGUCGCAGCUAACGCGUUAAGUUGUCCGCCUGGGGAGUACGGCCGCAAGGUUGAAA